This is a long non-coding RNA of Nomascus leucogenys (northern white-cheeked gibbon), 109 nucleotides long. RefSeq lists it as uncharacterized. The transcript has 2 exons. The record is from RefSeq and is a predicted model, not a curated record. Lineage: Eukaryota; Metazoa; Chordata; Mammalia; Primates; Hylobatidae.
GUGGCUCACCCUUGUAAUCCCAGCAUUUUGGGAGGCCAAGGGAGGCGGAUGACCUGACGUUAGGAGUUCGAGACCAGCCUGGCCAACAUGGUGAAACCCUGUCUCUACU